Long non-coding RNA from Hemicordylus capensis (graceful crag lizard), 4531 nucleotides. RefSeq lists it as uncharacterized. The record is from RefSeq and is a predicted model, not a curated record. The transcript has 2 exons. Lineage: Eukaryota; Metazoa; Chordata; Lepidosauria; Squamata; Cordylidae.
UAGAGAAUUCCUAGCCCUCAUAAAAUUAUAGUUCUAAGUAUUUUUUUGAUGUUGGAAAGGGGGACAGGGCAUCAAUGAUGGUAAUCAAGGGCGGGCAAACUAAGGCUUUUGGGAGCUACUUUUGGGGGUUUUUUGGCAGAGCUUUGGAAGCUAGCAGCAUGAAACAGUGGCUUGGGGAGGUGGAGUCACAAAAUGGUUGCUUGGGAAGGUGGAGUCAGUCACAAAAUGGCAGUUUGUACAAACAUUGACUUGAUUGAAAUAAGGGAUUUUAAUAUCAAAAUCCCUGAAUUCCCAGUUAAUGUUGCUGCAGGACAGGAGGGGAGCAAGAGAGUCUGCUUUUUAGGAGAAAAAACUGCCAGCCAAUCAGAUUUGCAAUAUUUUCUGGAAGGGAAGGGGAGGGAAUACAAGGCCAAAAGCCUGGAGAGCUACUUCAGAUCAGUCCAGGAGUUAUCAGUUUCUUCUGAGAGAACUUCCUGGUGAGGCCUCAUAUUACCACACUUGGCUGAAGACUAUCUGAUGACCUGGAUCACCACCAAACUGCAUACAUGCAAAUGGUUUUAAUGGUUUUGAUGAGUUUUGUGUUAAUGUUUAAGGCAGUUUUAAAGGUUUAUUGCGAAGCGUUAUUUUCACCUCAGUAAAAGCAAUCGAAUUGUUGUAUACCGCCCAGAGCCUUUGGAUGGAUAGGGCGAUAUAGAAAUGUGAGGUGGGGAGAGAGAGAGAAAGAGGAAGGAAGGAAGGAAGGAGAGAGUUGUGGCCCAAAAACAGCUGGGGGUGGGUGGGACUGACGUUGUGCAGCCCUGCAGUAAGUCAGGCAUUCCCAACCUUGGGUUGCCCCAGAUGUUGUUGGACUACAAUUUCCAUCAUCCUUAAAUAACCUUCUUGUUGCUUCUGGCCAUACAGCUGGAGACACAAACAGCAAGAAACUCUGAGGAGGCCAGUAACGCCGUGACACUUCAGGUCGAACCCUGAGACCUCUCAACCCUUUUUACCAACUAAAAAUCGCCUCAAGUCCUUUUCUUGAAGUGCAACAGUCAUUUGUGCAACUGUACACAGUGGGCUACUGGAAGGAGGGACCCUUUGCCCUUUUAGGCCCUGCCUGCCCAUUCAGAAAGGACCUAGGAAGGCUGCCUUCUCUCCCCUCCGAGUUCCAAUGCUGGAUUUUUGCACAGGAACCCAUCAGUGUUCUAAUCUCUUUAAGAUGUGGACCGACUGAUCCCCCCCCCCGUCUCCCGCUCUUGCUCUAUUACAUCCUCGUUUCUGUGGCAACAGGGAAGAGAUUUGCAUCCAAGGUUACGCUAAAGCAGGAUGGAUGGAACACAGAUUUAAAGAGAUAGCAACACCAUCCACACAGCCUAAGGCGAGGCCCAAUCCCCUCUGCAGAGUAGGGACUGUCAGAAUUAACAUGUGUGUGGUGGACUUGUGGCAAAGCACAACAAUUUGGGGGGGGAAAUUCACUCUAAGAUGCAACAAAUUUUAAAUAUUAACUUUCCUUAUUCACCUGAGCUUUUUUUUUUUGUUAAAUAUGACCAAACCUUGUAUACAUAUCAAACACACAGAGUUGUCCUUAGCUAUGAUUACUGCUGCCAGGAUUCUCUAUGCUGCGAAUUGGUGGUCACAGGCAAUCCUGACCCUGGGUGAAUGGCUACUAAAGCUAUGGGAAUAUGCCUCAAUGGCUAAGGUCACUGCUUAUUUGCGGAAUACCUCAGAUGAAAUAUUUGCGUUAACCUGGGAACCUUUCAUAAAUUGCAGUUUAGCAUAGUGUCAACAUCCACAUCCAAGAUUUAUUUAUUUUUAAUAUUGAGGGCUGAUUAGCGUUUUGUUUAUAUCUUUCUGCAAUAUCUGAUGUGAGGGGGAAGGUGGGAAAAGGGUGGAAGCAGAAUCUCGGAUUGUUAUAUGCAAUAUGUCAUAUGUAACUGCUGGAAGCUCAGGAGAUGAUAAUGUAACCAUGUUAUUUCUUUUUAUUUUCCUAUUAAAUAAAUAUAUAUAUAUUUAAAGAAUUAGCAUGAACACAUGCAAACAUACCCCAUCACAUGUGGAUGGGUGUUGAUUUGGGUGCUUCGCUAGAAAGAGAAAAGCACUCUACGAGCACCAAUUUUAGAUCUGAAAACCCUGCCCGCUCCUCUCACAUGGAAGCAGAGUCAGGGAAGUGGUGGCAGUGCAGAAUUUGGCAGCCUGGGGGCAGAUCCAGAACCCAAUGAAUGACUUGGGAGCACCCAAGGCUGAAGCAUUACUGAGAGUAAGCAGGCGGAUGAUCAAAACCUGAAUGGGAAACCACCAGGGCCAACCUGUGAGAGCAGGAUAAAAUAAAUUAAAACAUUUAUUUGAAAAAAGGAUUAGGGCGGAGCCAAGAGGAAGCGGGUGGGGGCAAAAUCAGAUAUAGGUCUUAAAUAGAUAGAUAUGUUGUAGGUAAAGGUAAAGUGUACCGUCGAGUCAGUGUCAACUCCUGGUGACCACAGAGCCCUGUGGUUGUCUUUGGUAGAAUGCAGUGGAAUAAGUUUACCAUUGCCAUCUCCUGUGCAGUAUGAGAUGAUGCCUUUCAGCAUCUUCCUGUAUCACUGCUGCCAGAUAUAGGUGUUUCCCAUAGUCUGGGAAACAUACCAGCGGGAAUUCAAGCAGGCAACCUCUGGCUUGCUAGUCAAGUCAUUUCCGCGCUGUGCUAUUAGGUGGUAGAGGCUGGCAAAACAUGGCUUAUGUUGCCCGCACCCCCCACUAUUGCUUAACUGGCAAAAUAAAGUUUUUGUAGUCGGGCAGUAGCUCAGUGAUAGAGCAUCUGUAGGCAGAAGGUCCCAGGUCCAAUCCCUGGCAUUUCCAGGCAACUCUGGUUGGGGGUGUGGGGAAGACCCCUGCCUGAAACCUUGGAGAGUUGCUGCCAGUCAGUGCAGAUAAGACUCAGCUAGAUGAACCAAUGGUCUGACUCAGUAUAAAGCAGCUUCCUAUGCCCCAGGUCAGUGAAAUACUGGCUUAUUCAAGCCCCUUCUUUAUAGCUUCUCUUAUCUGAGGGGAGAGCCCCAGGGGACAUUUCAGGUAGAAUGCAGUUAUGGGCAACUGGGAAAUGAUUCAGCAAACCUCAAAGGCCUGUUUUUGGAUCUGUUUAAACUGCAAAAAACCAGCCUCUCUUAAAAGCAUCUUGUUCUGGUCUUUUAUAGGACCCGUAAAGAGCUAUAGCAGUAUUAUCAACACAGGACAAAAAUGCCCUUUGUUUGAAAUAAAAAAGGAUUUCUGUCUCCUUUGCAUAUCUUGUACAAAGGCCCACUUAAUUGUCUGUAAUAUGAGCCACUUCAUGUAGGGAACCAAGAAUCUGACCAGAGAGAGACAUCUUAAGGAAUACAGAAAUAUGUCUGAAGGGAUACCGAAAUACAUGCGUGUGCACAUGUGUGUAUAUUAUAUGCAUGCAUAUUGCCCUUUCCCCAAAUUGUACGGCAUCCAUAUGUAAAAGAGAACAGGUAUCCUGUAUCUUUGCACAGAAGAGGGAAUUUCAGCAGGUGCAGUUUAGCUCCAUUCACAUGGAGACACCCCCUUACCACAUUUUGCAACAUGCUUCCACAUCAAAGGCACUGGGCCUGGUGCAAACACUUCAAAAGGUUUCCAGUGAGGAUGCUAAAGAGCUGAUUAGUUCAGCAUGUCAAAGAGGCAAAAAAGGCAUCCCAGAAAGAGGAUACUAAAGGGCUGAUUAACUCAGCAUGUCAAACAGUGCUGGAUUUAGGCCCAAACCAAGUAAGCUACAGCUUAGGGCCUCACAUGAUGAGAAAUCUCUGAAUCUCUGAAUAAAAAAAGAAAAGGACUUCACUUAGAAAAAAUGCUGAAUGCUGUAACUGUGAUGGCAGGCAUUUCUGGGAUUGGAAGGCUGUACAUCACAACACUGCUGUAGCUGUGAGCAAUGUGGCAAGGUGGGGUGUGUGUGUGAGUGAUGUACACCACUAGGGCGGGACUUCAAACUUUCACCAGUGUGUGCACAAAUGAUUGUAUGUAUGUAUGUAUACAUAUAUACACAUACACAGGGAACUCCGGGGUGAUUUCCUAAGGGGAGGGGUACCCACUAGCAGAGGGGAAAGUAGAGCACAUUUCUUUGACCCAGCUUCUCCAGAGCAAAUCACCUGCCCAGUCAAAAGCCACGUGCAAGAUGACACAUCUUUCCAGCAGUCAUCACUCUGAGUGGGAAAUGAGAGAAUGCCUCUUAUUUUCUUCUGUGAGGGAUGCCUGCUAGGUGAGAAGCAGCACCUUCCAGGUGAAACACGGGGAAGGGGCUGAGUAGGAAACCAUGAUGGUAGGGGAUGGACAUGGUCCACAGGCUGCCAGAUGGCCAUCUUGUCCCAAUGUGCUCUGUUUUGACAGGGAGAGGCACCUAGGCACUAAACAUGGAUCAGUGGCUUUCUUGACACACAAGAUGUAGAAUGCCUUGGGCCCUCUGUAUUCUUUUCAUCACCCGAGGAAAGAUUUAGGCCUUUGAGAUGCUUGUUUUGAUGUAAAGCUUUUGUACUUUGUGUUUUGCUGGUCGAAUGACCGUCACAAUAAAGAUUUGAUUUGUUUUGAA